Molecule: ribosomal RNA, 253 nt
Filed under: uncultured bacterium
Lineage: Bacteria
Description: partial 16S ribosomal RNA
Rfam family: Bacterial small subunit ribosomal RNA
Source: RNAcentral
UACGUAGGGGGCUAGCGUUGUCCGGAAUCAUUGGGCGUAAAGAGCGUGUAGGCGGCCCGGUAAGUCCGCUGUAAAAGUCAAAGGCUCAACCUUUGAAUGUCAGUGGAUACUGCCGGGCUAGAGUCCGGAAGAGGCGAGUGGAACUCCUGGUGUAGCGGUGGAAUGCGCAGAUAUCAGGAGGAACACCAAUAGCGAAGGCAGCUCGCUGGGACGGUACUGACGCUGAGGCGCGAAAGCGUGGGGAGCGAACAGG